CACGUAGGCGCCAAGCGUUGUCCGGAUUUAUUGGGCGUAAAGCGCGUGUAGGCGGUCCGGUAAGUCCGCUGUGAAAGUCGGGGGCUCAACCCUCGGAUGCCGGUGGAUACUGUCGGGCUUGAGUACGGAAGAGGCGAGUGGAAUUCCUGGUGUAGCGGUGAAAUGCGCAGAUAUCAGGAGGAACACCAAUUGCGAAGGCAGCUCGCUGGGACGUUACUGACGCUGAGACGCGAAAGCGUGGGGAGCAAACAGG
RNAcentral lists this ribosomal RNA (253 nucleotides) under uncultured bacterium. RNAcentral's name for it is "partial 16S ribosomal RNA". It matches the Rfam family "Bacterial small subunit ribosomal RNA", at positions 524 to 776 of the family's 1533-position model. The record is from RNAcentral.